AAAAGAUCACGGCUAUACCGUGGAAUUGAAUUUGAUACUGUAUUGCUAUUGUAUAGGAGAGGGAAGUGGAAUUUGUGGUGUAGGAGUGAAACCCGUAGAGAUCCGCAGGAACACAGGUGGCGAAGGCGACUUCCUGGACUAUUACUG
This 147-nucleotide ribosomal RNA is filed under the name Pseudomonas sp. Its description in RNAcentral is "partial 16S ribosomal RNA". It matches the Rfam family "Bacterial small subunit ribosomal RNA", at positions 596 to 742 of the family's 1533-position model. Lineage: Bacteria; Pseudomonadati; Pseudomonadota; Gammaproteobacteria; Pseudomonadales; Pseudomonadaceae. The record is from RNAcentral.